RNAcentral lists this ribosomal RNA (423 nucleotides) under uncultured bacterium. RNAcentral's name for it is "bacterial SSU rRNA". It matches the Rfam family "Bacterial small subunit ribosomal RNA", at positions 355 to 776 of the family's 1533-position model. The record is from RNAcentral.
UAGGGAAUAUUGGUCAAUGGGGGCAACCCUGAACCAGCCAUGCCGCGUGCAGGAUGACGGCCUUCUGGGUUGUAAACUGCUUUUAUAUAGGAAGACUAAAGGGAUGCGUCCCUGUAAGACGGUACUAUAAGAAUAAGGACCGGCUAACUCCGUGCCAGCAGCCGCGGUAAUACGGAGGGUCCAAGCGUUGUCCGGAAUUAUUGGGUUUAAAGGGUGCGUAGGCGGCCAAUUAAGUCAGAGCUGAAAUCUUACGGCUUAACCGUGAAACUGGCUUUGAUACUGAUUGGCUUGAGUAUAGUAGAGGUAGGCGGAAUUUAUGAUGUAGCGGUGAAAUGCAUAGAUAUCAUAAAGAACACCGAUUGCGAAGGCAGCUUACUGGACUAUAACUGACGCUGAGGCACGAAAGCGUGGGGAGCGAACAGG